Molecule: long non-coding RNA, 416 nt
Filed under: Setaria viridis
Lineage: Eukaryota; Viridiplantae; Streptophyta; Magnoliopsida; Poales; Poaceae
Description: long non-coding RNA (SVIR_LNC007419)
Source: RNAcentral
GGGGGUUAGGAAUCAAUAUUGAAGGCGCUUUCCCCAGCAGUGAGGUUGACUUUUGUUCAUGAGUUUUGACCAUUUGUGUUUUGUUUUCUCGUUAAGGAUAAUGUGAGCAUGAUUUAUAUUUUUGUAUAUUUGUACUAAUUUUUUAAAUAAGCUAGGAGCAGUCAAACAUCGUGAUUAAAAGUUUAUGGUUAAAAACAUUUAGUAAUGGAAGGAGUAAUAUCAUGUGACCAAUUUAAGGAGCGCGGCAUAUUUUGCUCUCUCCACCGAACUAACUACCAGCCGUCGAACAAUCAAGACGAACAAUUGACAUCUGGAUAGACAUCCACCGUGCAAAUGCAUAUCCCAUCCUUUCCUCGCGCACUGUUCAUGUAAGCGGCACACACGUUCACGAUUUCAAUCACCGUCCUCUAGACCCC